This is a long non-coding RNA of Pogoniulus pusillus (Red-fronted tinkerbird), 813 nucleotides long. RefSeq lists it as uncharacterized. The record is from RefSeq and is a predicted model, not a curated record. NCBI's taxonomy places the organism in Eukaryota, Metazoa, Chordata, Aves, Piciformes, Lybiidae. The transcript is spliced from 2 exons.
ACCUACAAGAAGAAGAUUAAACCAACUGAUUAGUUCUCCUCUGCAGCACUGUGGCAUCUGGGAUCUCCAGCGGGUUUGCAGCAUAACCUCAGGGAGCCAGAAAAUCCAGCAGAUAUUAUUGUCACUGCCUCCCAGCGGCUGAAGUAAAGAUUCACAGAAGUAACAGAAUAACCUUGCUAAGCACAGAACAUUCUACCUUUAAAUUGUAUUUUUGUACUUGCUUGUAAUAGGUCUCUGCAUCCAGGUUUACCCUUGCCAAGCAGUCACAGUACAAGGUCAUAUACCCAAGAUACUCUGUUCUAACUGUGUGAGUCAACAGCAGUAGGACUUGAUUUAAGAUUAGAUGUACCAAAUUUACUUGCCUGUUCAGGAUGCUGGUGCCUAAACCCCUUCUGGACACAACAGAGACUACAUGACACAGCCAGAGCCUGACUAGAUAGAAGGUCUCCCUUGUGAGGUGUGUGUCCUUCUGUACAGAGGUGUGUGUAUGAUGAUGGCAAAACGCUGCUGCACUGCCAGCUCUGGUGCUCCUCUCACUGAGAAGUAGACAGAUUCAGCUUAAGUGAAGGAAGAAUUCAGGGUCAAAUUUAGAACCCCAGCUGAAUCAUCUGGUCCAGAAGCCCUUUUCUUUUUAAUCUGACUGGUUUGUGGAGUGGAGGUAAUUUAAGAUACAAAUUCAGGCUAACUGCAGUGAAGAACAAUUUAAGUUAAGGAUGGUAGUGAAUCAACAAACAAGGUUUUAAUGUUGGUAUCCUCUCCACUUUUUUGGGGUCACAUAACAAUCUGUGGCAAAUCAAAAGACUAUCUCACUCA